AGUGGCGAACGGGUGAGUAACACGUGGGUGAUCUGCCCUGCACUUCGGGAUAAGCUUGGGAAACUGGGUCUAAUACCGGAUAGGAACCAUCUUUAGUGUGGUGGUUGGAAAGUUUUUUCGGUGUAGGAUGAGCUCGCGGCCUAUCAGCUUGUUGGUGGGGUAAUGGCCUACCAAGGCGGCGACGGGUAGCCGGCCUGAGAGGGUGUACGGCCACAUUGGGACUGAGAUACGGCCCAGACUCCUACGGGAGGCAGCAGUGGGGAAUAUUGCACAAUGGGCGCAAGCCUGAUGCAGCGACGCCGCGUGGGGGAUGAAGGCCUUCGGGUUGUAAACUCCUUUCGCUAGGGACGAAGCUUUUUGUGACGGUACCUAGAUAAGAAGCACCGGCUAACUACGUGCCAGCAGCCGCGGUAAUACGUAGGGUGCGAGCGUUGUCCGGAAUUACUGGGCGUAAAGGGCUCGUAGGUGGUUUGUCGCGUCGUCUGUGAAAUUCUGGGGCUUAACUCCGGGCGUGCAGGCGAUACGGGCAUAACUUGAGUGCUGUAGGGGUAACUGGAAUUCCUGGUGUAGCGGUGAAAUGCGCAGAUAUCAGGAGGAACACCGAUGGCGAAGGCAGGUUACUGGGCAGUUACUGA
RNAcentral lists this ribosomal RNA (635 nucleotides) under uncultured bacterium. RNAcentral's name for it is "bacterial SSU rRNA". It matches the Rfam family "Bacterial small subunit ribosomal RNA", at positions 94 to 743 of the family's 1533-position model. The record is from RNAcentral.